RNAcentral lists this ribosomal RNA (383 nucleotides) under uncultured eukaryote. RNAcentral describes it as "partial 18S ribosomal RNA". It matches the Rfam family "Eukaryotic small subunit ribosomal RNA", at positions 592 to 976 of the family's 1831-position model. The record is from RNAcentral.
CAAUAGCGUAUAUUUAAGUUGUUGCAGUUAAAAAGCUCGUAGUUGGAUUUCUGGUGGGAGCGAUCGGUCUGGCGCUUAGCGCGAGUACUUGCAUCGUCUCCGGCCACCCUUGGGGAGAGUCUGUCUGGCAUUAGGUUGUCGGGCAGAGGAUCCUCAUCGUUUACUGUGAAAAAAUUAGAGUGUUCAAAGCAGGCUUAUGCCGUUGAAUAUAUUAGCAUGGAAUAAUAAGAUAGGACUUUGGUACUAUUUUGUUGGUUUGCGCACCAAAGUAAUGAUUAAUAGGGACAGUUGGGGGUAUUCGUAUUCCGUUGUCAGAGGUGAAAUUCUUGGAUUUACGGAAGACGAACUACUGCGAAAGCAUUUACCAAGGAUGUUUUCAUUAA